RNAcentral lists this ribosomal RNA (359 nucleotides) under uncultured Gloeobacter sp. RNAcentral's name for it is "bacterial SSU rRNA". It matches the Rfam family "Bacterial small subunit ribosomal RNA", at positions 524 to 881 of the family's 1533-position model. Lineage: Bacteria; Bacillati; Cyanobacteriota; Cyanophyceae; Gloeobacterales; Gloeobacteraceae. The record is from RNAcentral.
UACGGAGGAUGCAAGCGUUAUCCGGAAUUAUUGGGCGUAAAGCGUACGUAGGCGGCUUGGUAAGUCUGGGGUCAAAGCCCGCAGCCCAACUGCGGAAAGGCCUUGGAAACUGCUGAGCUAGAGUGCGGUAGGGGCGAGGGGAAUUCCCGGUGUAGCGGUGAAAUGUGGAGAUAUCGGGAAGAACACCAGCGGCGAAAGCGCCUCGCUGGCCCGCGACUGACGCUGAGGUACGAAAGCCAGGGGAGCGAAUGGGAUUAGAUACCCCAGUAGUCCUGGCCGUAAACGAUGGACACUAGGUGUUGCGCGUAUCGACCCGUGCAGUGCCGUAGCUAACGCGUUAAGUGUCCCGCCUGGGGAGU